AUGUUUUAUUUACAGUACGUAAACCAGUUACAAAUGCAACACAGCCGCAGAUUUGCAUGCAGUAAUUGUGCAAUCGGGGUCCUUGUGAAAAACAGUGUGAUUUGUGUCAGCGUGCGUGUGUGUGCAUGUGUGUGUGGAGUUUCUCACCCUUUCUACACACAGCUGCCCUCUGUCCACCCGUGUCUCUAUACUCCCGCUCCCACCCUCCCGUCGUCUCACUCAGUCAACCAAAACUACAGAGUGUCGGCCUCAUUUCAUCGUUUCUCUUCUCCUUCUCAAAGCAAGGUGCUUUCCUCAUUGCUCCUGUCUUUGUGCCACGCUGACGCACCGAUCUGAUGGCUCUGAAGACAGUGUCAUCCUUUUGGAUUUAACAUUUAACUUUGUCCUUCAAUAGUUGAGAUUUUGUUCUGGUUUUACUGUUAAGUAAUGAGUAAUUCACAAGAUCUGUUUCUCAGACGUUUAUUAUCAUAGAAGACUAAAGCCUGGGGCACACCGGAGGCAGACGUGCCCCAGAGGCGUGGCCAGGGAGUGGCCUGGGUUGGCACAUGCCACCCUUAGAAUCUGAUUGGCCACCCCAGGUGCCACCCCACUAAGUUCCUGUUUAAAUUGACUUUACAUUGUCGACAAAAGGCUUGGGUUGUAAACUCCAAAAAUAGUGUGUGGUAGCAUGCACCUUUAACAUCGUCUUCUAGCCCAGGCCUACAGAACAUUUCUGUAGUAGUAAUAUUAUUUAUUAUUUUUUCAUAUUCACAUAAAUAGUAUUUAGAGUCCCACUCAUCUCCAGUUGGUGGCAGUAAUGCAACAAGAAGUGACUUGCUAACCACCACAAAACUAGAAGAUAAAUAGAAAAAAAUGUUGAUUGUGAAAUGUGAAACUCCAAAAUUCACUAGAAAGUAAAUAAACUAUUUGUCUAAAUAAAUAAAUAAGCAUAACCAUUGGUGCCACCCAAGCAUAAACAAGUGCCCCACAUGGGCCACCCCAUUUUAAAAGUCCUGGACACGGCUCUGACGUGCCCAUGCCGCGCCCGCUGUCAUUUUAAGUAGAAGCCAUUAUAGUUAAUGAAAGUGGGCACACGGGGAGCGCCGCGUCCCAGAAGCGCCGCGCCGAGGCGCUGAAGAUAGACACCAGCUCUACCUCACGCCUACUGCACACUGGAAGCAAAAGCGGCGCGCAACGGUGGUGGAACGGACAAUCACAGAACUCAAGUGCACACCAGUCUCAGCAGCGAAGCGGCUUCUCUGCUGUGCUCUUCGCGAGAUCACACGAUCCCUCGAGAUUUCAAAGGUUGUGAUUUGUCAAUGCAAUCCGCCUGUUACGUCCCCUCCUGAACGUCCAGGAGGAUGAGGGGACUAACACAGAAAAAUAGGUGGAGGUGUGUGUGAGAGGGUAAAUAACGAGGUGGUGAGAGUAAAAACAAAAAGGUUUAUUAACAAAGGGUGUCCGUUUCUAACGGCAAAAUAAGGCUUACAACGGGGAACGGUGAUGAAAAGGUGGAAACUGAAAACAUAAGCGGUUAACUGCUUAUGAAAAACGGCAGUUAGCCAAACUAAAUAAAAACCACCUAACAGAAAAAUCCCAGGCUCAAAGUCCAAUGGGGACAAAAACACCGAAAAGAGAAACUGACACUCUGUCAGCUAACCUGCAAAUGAGGAACUAAGCCAGAAACCCCUAAGCAAGCGUACGCCACAGAUUAACCUUAGCAAGCAAAUGGUAACUGAGCUCAGGAGAAUCACAGACUAGCUCUGGAUCUCCUCGACUGUCUGCUGUGCUCCUCUUUUAAAGUCCUGUGGGCUGCUUGAUGGCUGAUUCGGAUCAGCUGCUGCCAUUUCUGGCUCGCCUCUCUCCAAGGUCCUGGACUGCCACGGAGGGAGAGUGAGCUGCUCUGGGAACUGUCCCAGGUGCUGAAAACUCGGCGGUGGGGACAGCAGGCGCAGAUAACGAUGACGAGGAGGACCGAGGGGACGAGGGUCGUCACACCGCCAUUAAACCAAAAAGAAGGAAAUCAUGUUUGAUAUCGCCCUUUGAUGUCACACAUGCAGUUGUUCCUCUCCACCGCCAUGAUGAAAGCCAUGAAAACACACCGCUGUACUUCUGGAACGAUGCUAUGAGUAAAUAAGCCAUUGUGUCACACGUAAGCUUCAUAUAUAUAUAUAUGAAAUUGCAUUGCUGCUAUGCUUUUAUUUUGAAAGUUACGGGGUAGGUUACUCAGAAACCGUGUGUGGAUUCCUGUCUAGCCCUAUGUUAACUGACGUAUCCCAGAAGCGGCUCGCAGAAAAAAGAGAACCCGGUCCUAACUUUAGCGUCGCGUCGCGGUCGCGUCUGAAAAUGGCUGCACUGCAGCUGGUUUGGUACAUUCCGUAGAUUCUAUUUGAAGCAGUGCUGUUCCGCUGCCGUUUCACGCCACUUUUGCUUUCAGUGUGCAGUGGGGGGGGGGGGGUUAAGUGCCACUCAACAUUGUGGAGUACUUUACAACAGGCAUUACGAUGCAGAGCGAGUUUACGGCACACACCCACAUGCAGUUUUAAAGUUCUAUCGAUCUUAAAAUGUUCAAAUAGAGAGCACACUUACCCAUUUUAAUGAAUUCGAGUCUCAGAAAACACAAGUCUGAUCACAUUUAAACAAUAGAGUCACUUCCCGCUUCUUGUUCUCAAGUCCCACGUGAUGUUGUGACUAUCGCGCAACUUUCCGUGAAGCGGUCAGCGGCAUAACUGUGUGACAUCUUGACUUCUCAAAGUCUUGGGCGCGACGCAACGCGUCCAACUCCGGUUGUCAUGUUGUGGGUAAUGUACUUCACCCAGGACAUGAAGAAUCACACGAAAAGAGGCAAGUAAAGAUACAAGUGUUUUAUUUUUAAGGAGAAAAGAAAAACUAGAACUAAGGGCGCCGCUCCUGAAAACAGGAGCAGGAUGGAACCGGAAUCUAUGAAGACAAAAGAAAGGUGAGCGAGGCCAGAACCAGAGAACCAGGAGAAUAUGAAUCCGUAUCUGAAAGUUCUUACGGUCCGAAGCCAGGAUUUGAGCGGAGGCGAACUGGGAGAGGCUGGAGUGGGUGAGGUGGUUCUGAGCGUGGACAGGCAGGCAGGUGUGGAGAAAGGAGGCCAGAGGAUCCUUGAAUGGUGGGAUGUGAGACAACUCCAGGCAAGGUAGGUGGUGCAGAACAGGAUACUAGGACGGGAUACACAAAAAUCAUUAGACCAGGAUCACAGGAAUCAAAGGCAGAUUCUAGGCUAGAUGCUACCCAUGUGAGAGUAUCAACCGGCACUGGGGUUGAGUCACACCACUCCUUAAAUCCUCUGAACCUCCAAUUAGUGGAACUCCCAACAGCUGUGAAGGAUGCCACGCCCACCUGCAAACACAGAGCUGACACACCUCACCAGUAGGUGGAGGCAAACCGUGACACCGGUGCGCCCCAGGCUUUAGGCUUAUGUUCCAUGCAGUCAAUUUUUUCAUGCUGCUUAGAUGAGUAUAGGACUUGCUUAUAUUUAUUUAUUUAUUUAUUUAUUUCAUUUGCAAUGUUCAGAUUUUAUAAAAUGUUAAGAGGAAAUAAAUUAGGUAUCACUUCCAGAGUGGGGUCAAAAUGCCAAGAAUUUGUCCAAAUGUAGAGAAAAAAGUUAGAAAUUGCUUCGGGAAUUGAGCUGAAAAAUAAAAAAAUAAGUAAAAACUUUGUGGUUCUAAACACGUCUCAUGCAUGACCCAGAACACGCGGGGCGAAUGACAAAAAAAAAAAAAAACACAUGAGACUUUUUUGUUUACUGAGAUCGUUCUGCAACCCUACCUUCAAAAUAAAAGUCCUUAGCAUGAACACUAAACCCAAAAUACAUUCCUAACAUCUGAAGCCUGUGAAAGUGUUUGGAUGGUGAUGUUCUCAACGAAACUCAUGCUGAUACGUAAAAGCUGUUGGGAAGUAUGAAAAACGAUUUCCUGUUAGUGCACCAGUUAAAUCCACCGUUUGUGAUCCUCAAAUCGUUGUUCUGAAAACCAAACCUGAAGUACAACGCCACCGCAGUUUGCACCAGUGUUGGUUUAGAUUUGAUCUCAAAACAUAACCGUUAUUCUUGGAUUUCUACUUUAUUCCAAAUAAAGAAUUUCAUCAUUUUCCUGACAGUUUCCAAUUUUUCUCAACAGUUCAUUUUCUAGCUUAAAAGUAGGGAAAAGUAGAAAGCUGGGUUCUCUUUUCCUUCGUCUUAGUGGCCCUGAUAUGCCGCCUAAGCAGAAUCUAACAGUUGUUUUCUGUUUUUUGAUCAAAAGUUUAUUCUUUGUUUCCAAACUAAGUGAAACUGGCUGUCUUUAAUGUAGCUUUAAACAACAAGGUGAGGAGGAGGAUAGCAGAAAAAGGCCGUAAGAGCACAAAAACAUUUCCAGUUAGGUGUUUCAUCAGCUUGUAAAGUAAUUAAUAGACGGCAGAUAGUAAAAAUACAAACAAAUGUCUUCGUUUCAUUUGCUUUUCUCUCCCUGCAGGUAGAGCUUGGAGCGCUGGAGCUGAAUCUUUCUGCUCUGUGGUUUUGCGCUUCACUAAUGACGAGCUCAGUCUGCCCACAGCUACUUCUACACGAGUCUAAUUCUCAACAGCUUUCUGGUUAAAAUGAUUUAUCCUUUCUGCUUUGGUUGUUUUGCCUCAAGAAUGUUAUUUCUGUCUUUUUAUAAAUUUGUAGCUUCUUUAAAAAGAAAAUGGUUUUAUUUUGAAGAGAAUAAUUGCAUGGCUGUAGAUGAGAAUCAGCCGCUCCACAUCUGAGUCAGGGACGAGGUCCUGCCUCGAGCGGAGGAGUUUAAACUCAGGGAUUUGCUCACGAGUGAGGGAAAGAUGGAGUGUGAGAUUGAAAAGUGCUAUUUGUUUAGCGCCUUCUAGGGUUCUACAACCCCCAAAGGCGCUUUGUCACUAACCAGUCAUUCACCAAUUCACACACACAUUCACCAAUUCACACACACAUUCACAC
This 4933-nucleotide long non-coding RNA is filed under the name Nothobranchius furzeri (turquoise killifish). RNAcentral's name for it is "lncRNA (ENSNFUG00015003520.1)". The record is from RNAcentral. Lineage: Eukaryota; Metazoa; Chordata; Actinopteri; Cyprinodontiformes; Nothobranchiidae.